This is a long non-coding RNA of Bos taurus (domestic cattle), 1639 nucleotides long. Lineage: Eukaryota; Metazoa; Chordata; Mammalia; Artiodactyla; Bovidae. The record is from Ensembl.
ACUCCAUUCUCCUCCCCUCGGGCUCCCGCGGAUGCUUUAAUGCUUCGGAUGCUUCUGCCUCCCCUCUGUCCGUCCCGGGGGUGUGGUACUCGCAGGCUCGGGGCGGCCGCACUGCGCAGGCGCCGGGCCGAGCCACGCCUCCCGCUCCGGCCCUCGCGGCGCGGGGCCUGCUGGGACUUGUAGUUCGGCCCCGCGCUGGGCUAGGGCCGGGACUGGCACGCGGCUGCGGGAAUCCGAGAACCGCCCCGGGACUUGCCUUCGGAGGGAAGGCGUUGGGGGCGUGCAGCGAGGGAGUCAAAGGCGGCUCGGCGGAGCUGAAGCCCGCCGCCCACACCCACUCCAGUCCUGGGGCCCGUUCUCGCACAUCCAUGCCCGGGGAGGAGGGGUCGUCCCGCUCGCCCGCUUCCCGCCCUGCCGAAUGCCCGGAAAGCGAAGUGCACUGGCCACGGCGAGGGCGGGGCGAAGCGCUGCGUCCGGGCAGGAGCCGGUGCCGGUUCUGGCCCCCCGCGUGGCGUGCUCGGGGUGGAAGGGAGGUCAGGCUGGCCGGACCUGCAGCCCGGGCCUGCAGCCCGGCUUCCGCCGGGGCACGCCAAGCCCACGCGGGCAGGGGGCUGCAGCCCGAAGGCGGCCAGGCGCGCCCGCGGGGCCCGCACGCGGCGGCCGGCCGAGGUGCUGCCGUCGCACACGCGCUCGGUGGAUGGCAAAGGUGUACUUUGUUUUUCGUCCGAGGGCGCGAAGGGGGAUCCGCGAGUCGGCGGCGACUCGGCGCUGGCGGCAGCAUCGGUACCCACGCAGCCUGAGCGCCCCUCGGCGGCCGCGGGGUGGAAGCGCCGCGGCGGGGCCACGCGGACGACGGGUCCACCCCCGGCCCUCUGGGCCCCGGGAUACCCGUCUGCGACUCCGGGGAUUCCGGCGUGGGAUGCGGACCGGUUCUGCUAAUAACCUGCCUUCCACCACGCGGGGCCGCGAAUCAAGAAUCUUCAUUCCAACCCAAACUGAUUCAUAUUAAUAAAAAUGCAAACGGAAUCGCCGGGGUCAGAAACAUGAUUUACCUUUAUGUGCCAAGCACAGCAGGGAAUACCAAAGUGAUUUCCCAGGAGAGUCCACCGCUAGGAAGACUAGCAAACUGGGAGGAAAACCACUGAGAUAAAAUGGAAUAAGAGUCACUGUGGACACAGACACAAAGGACUUUGGAAGCAGAGAGGAAGUGAUUUCAGGGACUUAGAAAGAAUCCGAGAGGAGAAAUGAGAGCUGACAGUGGGCCUGGAGGCAUGAAGGAGGUUUCCAGUUACUUUCCCACCUCUCUGAGAACUCCCUUCAUCGAUGGACCCAGUGGUGACCAACUCUGACAUUAAAAACUUUGCAGACUUCCCUGGUGGUCGCUGCAGGGGACACAGGCUCAAUCCCUGCUCCAGGAAGAUUCCACAUGCCUUGGGGCAACUAAGCCCCCGCACCACAACUACUGAGCCCACACUCCUAGAGCCUGUGCUCUGAAACAAGAGAGUCCAUGGCGGUAAGAAGACCUGGCACCACAGUGAAGAGUAGCCCUCACUCACCGCAACCAGAGAAAGCUGCUGAAAAGCAAAGAAACCCAACGCAGCCAAAAAUAAGUCAAUACAUUUUUUUUAAUGUUUUAUUU